RNAcentral lists this long non-coding RNA (274 nucleotides) under Nicotiana benthamiana. RNAcentral's name for it is "long non-coding RNA (NBEN_LNC030992)". Lineage: Eukaryota; Viridiplantae; Streptophyta; Magnoliopsida; Solanales; Solanaceae. The record is from RNAcentral.
CAAACAUGGCAUACAACCCAAAAUAUAAUAACAUCAAACAAUUAACUGUCAAAUACACAUUCAAAUAAUCGUUCGGGAUGGACUAGGUCAUAAUCCCCAGCAGUAAUCUACCCCAUGCUCGUCAUCUAACGUAUAAGUCACCUCAAAGUAACACAACGAUGUGUAAUUCGGGAAUUCAAUCCCAUAGGGCAGUAUUUACAAUCAUUACUUACCUCGAACCGGCAAAAUCCCUAGCUCGUGAUGCCUUGCCCCUCAAAUGGCCUCCACGUGCGUC